Molecule: long non-coding RNA, 884 nt
Organism: Saccostrea cuccullata (small rock oyster)
Lineage: Eukaryota; Metazoa; Mollusca; Bivalvia; Ostreida; Ostreidae
Exons: 5
Source: RefSeq, a predicted model, not a curated record
UCAGGUGAAGAACAGCACGUCGAAGUUACUCUGGUGAGCAUUGUGGCCCAUGGGCCUCUUGUUUUAAGAGAUGCUAAAAACUUUAUCUAUAAGUUCACUUUAUCCCUGUGUGUACUAAACAAGUUUUAUUAUAAAUAAGGGGCCAAUUUCCCUUGUAAAUUGUGUAUGUGAUUUCCAACUAAAAUUCCCAUACCAAAGAAAUAAUAGUUUUGAGUGUCUCUAAAAUAUCUUGUAUCUAUAGGGGGAGGAACAAGCAGUGUUAGAAGAAAAACCAGUGGUGAGUUCUGGGGUAGGAGCAGCUCUAGAGCUAGCCGUUAAGAAAGGAUACAUAGAAGAUGAAGGGAAAAAAAUGCCAUAGUAAGGAGCAAAGCUAAGCUUGACCUAGAGGUUCAGAAUUACUCUAUAGAGGACAAACGAUACGAUAAUUUGGAUGAGAAGUACAGCAGGAAGAGGGACAGAUACAGUGGAGGGGGAGGGCUGAUACAGGACUUCAAUGAGAAAGAGGGAUAUAAACCGGACGUCAAACUGGAAUACGUGGACGACGGGGGGCACCUGCUGAAUCAGAAGGAGGCCUUCAGGCAGUUGUCCCACAGGUUCCAAGGGAAAGGUUCCGGCAAAAAGAAGACAGAAAAACGAACUAAAAAACUGCAGGAGGAACAGUUGAUGAAGCAGAUGAGUUCCACAGACACGCCCCUAGGUAUGCUGAACAUGCUUAAGGAUAAGCAGAGAACAGAGAAAUCACCUUACAUCGUCCUGUCUUGCUCCAAAGGUUUCUCAUCAAAUUCCAUCAUUAAACCUAGCCAAACCUGAAGCUAUCGGAAUAUUGAGCAAUUUUUCUAGACUUUGAAUGCAGACAACAUACACGAAGGAGACAUGACCCCAAA